GUUGGGAAUAUUGCACAAUGGGCGAAAGCCUGAUGCAGCAACGCCGCGUGUACGAUGAAGGCCUUCGGGUUGUAAAGUACUUUUCUGAAGGACGAGAAAGGACGGUACUUCAGGAAUAAGGAUCGGCUAACUACGUGCCAGCAGCCGCGGUAACACGUAGGAUCCAAGCGUUAUCCGAAUUUACUGGGCGUAAAGCGCGUGCAGGCGGUAUGGCAAGUUGGAUGUGAAAGCUCCCGGCUCAACUGGGAGAGGCCGUUCAAAACUGCCAAACUAGAGGACGGUAGAGGGAGGUGGAAUUCCCGGUGUAGUAGUGAAAUGCGUAGAUAUCGGGAGGAACACCAGUGGCGAAGGCGGCCUCCUGGGCCGUUCCUGACGCUCAGACGCGAAAGCUAGGGGAGCGAACGGGAUUAGAAACCCUGGUAGUCC
RNAcentral lists this ribosomal RNA (426 nucleotides) under uncultured bacterium. RNAcentral describes it as "bacterial SSU rRNA". It matches the Rfam family "Bacterial small subunit ribosomal RNA", at positions 354 to 796 of the family's 1533-position model. The record is from RNAcentral.